AUGUCGUUCUUAAUAUGCGAUGUCGCCCCCUAUUGUGUGUAUGAAUGUAACACGUCAAACAAAACUAUUCCAAUUUUGUCGCGUAAUGUUGCAGAAAGUGAACUCAUCUGAUAGUCUUACGAAUUGUAAAGUAUACAGGUACCAUGAAUAUAUCCUUAAAAGUGCACAACUGUGGGCUUUAACGUAUUUAGUGAAACCGGCUGACUGGAAACGUUUGAGGCUCCAUAUUUCAAAAUCCAGAUGGCGCUGUUCGUCAGAUGGGACUCCAGUGUAGUGAUGAAGUAAAAGCUCACAGUGAACAGAGGACUGGAAGAUCUGACGGGUCAAGGAGAAAGUCACUGUUGUACAGGAGUUUAGCAGAAUCAGGAUGAUCAUUUUCUGACAAGAGCUCUUCAACACAAGAACGUCUCCACAGUUAAGCUUCAACAGCAACAGGAAACCGGAGGACACAUGGGCAACAGACUAGUCUUCAACCACUGAACUGAACUUGAACCCAAUUUAUACAUCCAGCGUAGUCAACAACACUGCAUCGUGGAGUCAGACACGUUCACCUAUUCAUACGCCACUGUGUUUGUACCGAGUGUGGCGCUCAACGGCCUCCUGCGGUACUUUAAUGGUCUGAUAGAUCAUGCUUAUUUAUUACUUAUCAUUUAAAUCGACACUUUUUAAAAUAAAA
Misgurnus anguillicaudatus (oriental weatherfish) is the source of this 676-nucleotide non-coding RNA. NCBI's taxonomy places the organism in Eukaryota, Metazoa, Chordata, Actinopteri, Cypriniformes, Cobitidae. The record is from RefSeq and is a predicted model, not a curated record.